RNAcentral lists this ribosomal RNA (306 nucleotides) under uncultured bacterium. RNAcentral's name for it is "partial 16S ribosomal RNA". It matches the Rfam family "Bacterial small subunit ribosomal RNA", at positions 507 to 807 of the family's 1533-position model. The record is from RNAcentral.
GACAGCAGUAGCCGCGGUAAUACGAGGGGUGCAAGCGUUAUUCGGAUUGAUUGGGUGUAAAGGGUGUGCAGACGGCUUAUUAAGUCACUUGUUAAAUUCUUCGGCCUAACUGAAGGUCUGCAAGUGAUACUGAUGAGCUAGAGGGUGGAAGAGAGAAGUGGAAUUCUCGGAGUAGCGGUAAAACGCGUAGAUCUCGAGAGGAACACCAAUGGCGAAGGCAGCUUCUUGGUCCAUUCCUGACGUUCAUACACGAAAGCGUGGGGAGCAAACAGGAUUAGAUACCCCCGUAGUCCCUGUCUCUUAUAC